RNAcentral lists this ribosomal RNA (253 nucleotides) under uncultured bacterium. RNAcentral describes it as "partial 16S ribosomal RNA". It matches the Rfam family "Bacterial small subunit ribosomal RNA", at positions 524 to 776 of the family's 1533-position model. The record is from RNAcentral.
UACGGGGGGGGCAAGCGUUGUUCGGAAUUACUGGGCGUAAAAGGCUCGUAGGCGGCCAACUAAGUCAUACGUGAAAUCCCUCGGCUUAACCGGGGAACUGCGUCUGAUACUGGAUGGCUUGAGUUCGGGAGAGGGAUGCGGAAUUCCAGGUGUAGCGGUGAAAUGCGUAGAUAUCUGGAGGAACACCGGUGGCGAAGGCGGCAUCCUGGACCGAUACUGACGCUGAGGAGCGAAAGCCAGGGGAGCAAACGGG